RNAcentral lists this unclassified non-coding RNA (378 nucleotides) under plant metagenome. RNAcentral's name for it is "partial contains 5.8S ribosomal RNA, internal transcribed spacer 2, and large subunit ribosomal RNA". The stretch from base 1 to 105 matches the Rfam family "5.8S ribosomal RNA", at positions 50 to 154 of the family's 154-position model. The record is from RNAcentral.
GAAAUGCGAUAAGCAAUGUGAAUUGCAGAAUUCAGUGAAUCAUCGAAUCUUUGAACGCACCUUGCGCUCCUUGGUAUUCCUUGGAGCAUGCCUGUUUGAGUAUCAUGAAAUCUUCAAAGUAAAUCUUUUGUUAACUCAAUUGGUUUCUACUUUGGUAUUGGAGGUCUUUGCAGCUUCACACCUGCUCCUCUUUGUUCAUUAGCUGGAUCUCAGUGUUAUGCUUGGUUCCACUCGGCGUGAUAAGUUAUCUAUCGCUGAGGACACUGUAAAAGGUGGCCAAGGUAAAUGCAGAUGAACCGCUUCUAAUAGUCCAUUGACUUGGACAAUACUUUUAUGAUCUGAUCUCAAAUCAGGUAGGACUACCCGCUGAACUUAAGC